AUUGAACGCUGGCGGCAUGCCUUACACAUGCAAGUCGAACGGCAGCACGGGGGCAACCCUGGUGGCGAGUGGCGAACGGGUGAGUAAUACAUCGGAACGUGCCCGGUAGUGGGGGAUAGCUCGGCGAAAGCCGGAUUAAUACCGCAUACGACCCACGGGUGAAAGCGGGGGAUCGCAAGACCUUGCGCUAGCGGAGCGGCCGAUGUCAGAUUAGGUUGUUGGUGGGGUAAAGGCCACCAAGCCGACGAUCUGUAGCUGGUCUGAGAGGACGACCAGCCACACUGGGACUGAGACACGGCCCAGACUCCUACGGGAGGCAGCAGUGGGGAAUUUUGGACAAUGGGCGCAAGCCUGAUCCAGCCAUGCCGCGUGCGGGAAGAAGGCCUCGGU
RNAcentral lists this ribosomal RNA (390 nucleotides) under uncultured bacterium. RNAcentral's name for it is "bacterial SSU rRNA". It matches the Rfam family "Bacterial small subunit ribosomal RNA", at positions 29 to 423 of the family's 1533-position model. The record is from RNAcentral.